AGUACUACGCCGGAUGAACGGAAAUCAUUGAUGUUGAUUAAUAUAGGAUCAUAUAGAAUCUUUAGUGCUA
This 70-nucleotide transfer RNA is filed under the name Amalda northlandica (Northland olive shell). RNAcentral describes it as "tRNA-Ile". The record is from RNAcentral. Lineage: Eukaryota; Metazoa; Mollusca; Gastropoda; Neogastropoda; Olividae.